UAGUGGCGCACGGGUGCGUAACGCGUGGGAAUCUGCCCUCUGGUACGGAAUGACAGUUAGAAAUGACUGCUAAUACCGUAUAAUGACUUCGGUCCAAAGAUUUAUCGCCUGAGGAUGAGCCCGCGUAGGAUUAGCUUGUUGGUGAGGUAAAAGCUCACCAAGGCGACGAUCCUUAGCUGGUCUGAGAGGAUGAUCAGCCACACUGGGACUGAGACACGGCCCAGACUCCUACGGGAGGCAGCAGUGGGGAAUAUUGGACAAUGGGCGAAAGCCUGAUCCAGCAAUGCCGCGUGAGUGAUGAAGGCCUUAGGGUUGUAAAGCUCUUUUACCCGGGAUGAUAAUGACAGUACCGGGAGAAUAAGCCCCGGCUAACUCCGUGC
This 380-nucleotide ribosomal RNA is filed under the name uncultured bacterium. Its description in RNAcentral is "bacterial SSU rRNA". It matches the Rfam family "Bacterial small subunit ribosomal RNA", at positions 93 to 508 of the family's 1533-position model. The record is from RNAcentral.